RNAcentral lists this ribosomal RNA (301 nucleotides) under uncultured bacterium. RNAcentral's name for it is "partial 16S ribosomal RNA". It matches the Rfam family "Bacterial small subunit ribosomal RNA", at positions 509 to 807 of the family's 1533-position model. The record is from RNAcentral.
CAGCAGCCGCGGGAAUACGAAGGGUGCGAGCGUUAGUCGGAAUUACUGGGCGUAAAGGGUGCGUAGGCGGUUGUUUAAGUCUGUUGUGAAAUCCCCGGGCUCAACCUGGGAAUGGCAAUGGAAACUGGACGGCUAGAGUGUGUCAGAGGAUGGUGGAAUUCCCGGUGUAGCGGUGAAAUGCGUAGAGAUCUGGAGGAAUACCGGUGGCGAAGGCGGCCCCCUGGACAAAGACUGACGCUCAGGUGCGAAAGCGUGGGGAGCAAACAGGAUUAGAUACCCGAGUAGUCCCUGUCUCUUAUAC